RNAcentral lists this ribosomal RNA (253 nucleotides) under uncultured bacterium. RNAcentral's name for it is "partial 16S ribosomal RNA". It matches the Rfam family "Bacterial small subunit ribosomal RNA", at positions 524 to 776 of the family's 1533-position model. The record is from RNAcentral.
UACGUAGGGGGCAAGCGUUGUCCGGAAUCAUUGGGCGUAAAGAGCGUGUAGGCGGCCCGAUAAGUCCGCUGUGAAAGUCCAGGGCUCAACCCUGGGAUGCCGGUGGAUACUGUCGGGCUCGAGUCCGGAAGAGGAGUGUGGAAUUCCUGGUAUAGCGGUGAAAUGCGCAGAUAUCAGGAGGAACACCAAUGGCGAAGGCAGCACUCUGGGACGUGACUGACGCUGAGGAGCGAAAGCAUGGGGAGCGAACAGG